GGAGGACACUGGGGAUCGCAAGACCUUGCGCUCAUUGAGCGGCCGCUCCCUGAUUAGCUAGUUGGUGAGGUAAAGGCUUACCAAGGCGACGAUCAGUAGCUGGUCUGAGAGGACGACCAGCCACACUGGGACUGAGACACGGCCCAGACUCCUACGGGAGGCAGCAGUGGGGAAUUUUGGACAAUGGGGGAAACCCUGAUCCAGCCAUGCCGCGUGAGUGAAGAAGGCCUUCGGGUUGUAAAGCUCUUUCAGCCGGAACGAAACGGUCACGGCUAAUACCUGUGACUACUGACGGUACCGGAAGAAGAAGCACCGGCUAACUACGUGCCAGCAGCCGCGGUAAUACGUAGGGUGCGAGCGUUAAUCGGAAUUACUGGGCGUACAGCGUGCGCAGGCGGUUUUGUAAGUCAGAUGUGAAAUCCCCGGGCUUAACCUGGGAACUGCGUUUGAAACUACAAGGCUAGAAGGG
RNAcentral lists this ribosomal RNA (469 nucleotides) under uncultured beta proteobacterium. Its description in RNAcentral is "bacterial SSU rRNA". It matches the Rfam family "Bacterial small subunit ribosomal RNA", at positions 189 to 649 of the family's 1533-position model. Lineage: Bacteria; Pseudomonadati; Pseudomonadota; Betaproteobacteria. The record is from RNAcentral.